UCUUGCUGUAGGGUUUCCGCGAUGAUAGUUCACGGAAUGUUAUUGAAAGUGAGAGACGUGGAAAAAAUAAUAAAACCCACAGACCGCAGUUGCCACUGUGUAUGCUGGCUGAAUUUAUGACUGUCUUUUCUUCUCUCCUCUCAUUACCUGCAAUCGGUUCUCGCCAACCCUUUAGAGCCCCCAGCAGAAGGGGCUCCCCGAGCUUGCUUUGUCUUCUGGGCUUCAGGACGGGAGUGUGAGAACUGCAGAAGACGCGCCAGUCCUGACUUCGUUGCAUUGCCACGGCCAGUAUCCUCCUUUUUGGGGUGGCAUUCGCACUACUAGAUCAGGACGUGAAGUAACCAGUUGAAUAAUCCUGAGCCUGUGGUCUCUGUCUGAGGGAUGAGAGCGGAAAAGUUCUAGAAGUAAGAACAAUCACAUUAUAGAAAAGUCAGCAGCCGCGAUGGCCAGUCACCUUGCCUCCCAUCUCUGGCCUCUUGGGGGACAGAAGAGUGUGG
This is a non-coding RNA of Kogia breviceps (pygmy sperm whale), 497 nucleotides long. NCBI's taxonomy places the organism in Eukaryota, Metazoa, Chordata, Mammalia, Artiodactyla, Physeteridae. The record is from RefSeq and is a predicted model, not a curated record.